GGCGGGUUGCGGGAGCUGCGAGCGGCCGUCUCGUCUAACCCUAAAGAGAAAGGCGUAGGUGCUUGGCCUUGGCGACUCGCCCGCUGUUUUUUGGCUGGCUUUCAGCGGGUGAAGAGGCCCAAGACCUACCGCCACCCACCGUCUAGUGUCUUAAGGGCACAAAGUCCUGCCCGCCACCCUUCGAGGAGCGAAACCCAAAAAAGUCAGCCCCUGGCCGCCUCUCGCCCUCUCGCAACCCGCCUCCGUCCCAGCCUCCAUCCCCGCCCCAGGCCGCGGUCGGUCCGGGCUUCUUCGGAAGUCCCGUUGCCGUCGCGAAGAGUUCGCCUCUGUCAGCCGCGGGGCUUGGGGCCAGGGACGGGACCCUGUCCGCAGGGAGAGAAACUGGAGCCGGGCCCUCCACGGUGCCUCCCCGAGCUGUGGGAUCUGCACCCGGGACUCGAACCCUACACUU
RNAcentral lists this telomerase RNA (451 nucleotides) under Suncus murinus (house shrew). RNAcentral describes it as "Vertebrate telomerase RNA". It matches the Rfam family "Vertebrate telomerase RNA". Rfam says of the family: Telomerase is a ribonucleoprotein reverse transcriptase that synthesises telomeric DNA. Telomerase RNAs differ greatly in sequence and structure between vertebrates, ciliates and yeasts, but they share a 5' pseudoknot structure close to the template sequence. The record is from Rfam by way of RNAcentral. Lineage: Eukaryota; Metazoa; Chordata; Mammalia; Eulipotyphla; Soricidae.